AGCUCCAAUAGCGUAUACUAACGUUGUUGCAGUUAAAAAGCUCGUAGUUGGAUUUCUGAAUGUGGUUGGUUGUAUUGGUGGCGCUGCCGUCAGUCGCCAUACUACGUUCAAAACAUGUGAUGCUUGGGUGUGGUUGAUUAAUUUCGAUCCGCCCUUAAAUCGCUCGUUUACUUUGAGAAAAUUAGAGUGUUCAAAGCAGGCAUUGUGCUUGAAUAUGUUAGCAUGGAAUAAUAGCAUAGGACUUCAUGUUCUAUUUGUUGGUUGUUCGAGAACUAAAGUAAUGAUUGAUAGGGACGGUUGGGGGCAUCCGUAUUCUCAAGCGAGAGGUGAAAUUCUUGGACCUUGGGAAGACGAACAGCUGCGAAAGCGUUUGCCUAGGACGUUCUCU
Molecule: ribosomal RNA, 388 nt
Filed under: uncultured eukaryote
Lineage: Eukaryota
Description: SSU rRNA
Rfam family: Eukaryotic small subunit ribosomal RNA
Source: RNAcentral